ACUCCCUUGCGCUUCAGGCGCCAUCGUAUGUGUGGGCAAAAUACCCAUCCUGUCCAUAUGAUGACUAGGACGAGAAAGUUUGAGAUGGGCGUAUGCCUAAGCAUUUCCUUUAUUGGUGUUAUCCCAAGGGAUAGGCGGGAUUUGUCUGUUCGUCAGGGGAUGCCCAUAGAAAGAAGACGUGCAAAGAGGAUACAUAAAGGAGUUCUUAAAAUCCAUCCAUUGACUGAAGACUAAAGAUGCCACUGAAUUAGCUGUGCUGCUCUUGGACCUCUGUAACAUUAAAUGAGAUUUGAAACACCCAUAUCUGUUACUGCUAUGUCAUUAUAUUUCUGACUAAUAAAAUUUCAAAUUUCAA
Molecule: long non-coding RNA, 355 nt
Organism: Xenopus laevis (African clawed frog)
Lineage: Eukaryota; Metazoa; Chordata; Amphibia; Anura; Pipidae
Exons: 2
Source: RefSeq, a predicted model, not a curated record